AUCGCUUCUCGGCCUUUGGCUAAGAUCAAUAGUGUAAAUCUGUUCUUUCAGUUUUAAUACUGAUACGUCCCUACCCGGGGACACAUAUUAAAUGAUUUUGGAAUCACGGCGCUGGAGCCGGGGCUUGCUGUCCCCUCCACGCAUCGGCCCUGGUAUUGCACAGGUUCCAGGAACGGGGUGUUCCCU
This is a small nuclear RNA of Cyprinus carpio (common carp), 186 nucleotides long. RefSeq annotates it as U2 spliceosomal RNA. The record is from RefSeq and is a predicted model, not a curated record. Lineage: Eukaryota; Metazoa; Chordata; Actinopteri; Cypriniformes; Cyprinidae. The transcript has a single exon.